This 492-nucleotide ribosomal RNA is filed under the name uncultured bacterium. RNAcentral describes it as "partial 16S ribosomal RNA". It matches the Rfam family "Bacterial small subunit ribosomal RNA", at positions 29 to 507 of the family's 1533-position model. The record is from RNAcentral.
AGUGAACGCUGGCGGUAGGCCUAACACAUGCAAGUCGAACGGCAGCACAGUAAGAGCUUGCUCUUACGGGUGGCGAGUGGCGGACGGGUGAGGAAUACAUCGGAAUCUACUUUUUCGUGGGGGAUAACGUAGGGAAAAUUACGCUAAUACCGCAUACGACCUACGGGUGAAAGCAGGGGAUCUUCGGACCUUGCGCGAUUGAGUGAGCCUAUGUCGGAUUAGCUAGUUGGCGGGGUAAAGGCCCACCAAGGCGACGAUCCGUAGCUGGUCUGAGAGGAUGAUCAGCCACACUGGAACUGAGACACGGUCCAGACUCCUACGGGAGGCAGCAGUGGGGAAUAUUGGACAAUGGGGGCAAGCCUGAUCCAGCCAUACCGCGUGGGUGAAGAAGGCCUUCGGGUUGUAAAGCCCUUUUGUUGGGAAAGAAAAGCAGCAGGUUAAUACCCCGCUGUUCUGACGGUACCCAAAGAAUAAGCACCGGCUAACUUCGUG